RNAcentral lists this ribosomal RNA (806 nucleotides) under Microbacterium sp. MCCC 1A10542. RNAcentral describes it as "bacterial SSU rRNA". It matches the Rfam family "Bacterial small subunit ribosomal RNA", at positions 57 to 873 of the family's 1533-position model. The record is from RNAcentral. Lineage: Bacteria; Bacillati; Actinomycetota; Actinomycetes; Micrococcales; Microbacteriaceae.
GCAGUCGAACGGUGAACACGGAGCUUGCUCUGUGGGAUCAGUGGCGAACGGGUGAGUAACACGUGAGCAACCUGCCCCUGACUCUGGGAUAAGCGCUGGAAACGGCGUCUAAUACUGGAUAUGUGACGUGACCGCAUGGUCUGCGUCUGGAAAGAAUUUCGGUUGGGGAUGGGCUCGCGGCCUAUCAGCUUGUUGGUGAGGUAAUGGCUCACCAAGGCGUCGACGGGUAGCCGGCCUGAGAGGGUGACCGGCCACACUGGGACUGAGACACGGCCCAGACUCCUACGGGAGGCAGCAGUGGGGAAUAUUGCACAAUGGGCGCAAGCCUGAUGCAGCAACGCCGCGUGAGGGACGACGGCCUUCGGGUUGUAAACCUCUUUUAGCAGGGAAGAAGCGAAAGUGACGGUACCUGCAGAAAAAGCGCCGGCUAACUACGUGCCAGCAGCCGCGGUAAUACGUAGGGCGCAAGCGUUAUCCGGAAUUAUUGGGCGUAAAGAGCUCGUAGGCGGUUUGUCGCGUCUGCUGUGAAAUCCGGAGGCUCAACCUCCGGCCUGCAGUGGGUACGGGCAGACUAGAGUGCGGUAGGGGAGAUUGGAAUUCCUGGUGUAGCGGUGGAAUGCGCAGAUAUCAGGAGGAACACCGAUGGCGAAGGCAGAUCUCUGGGCCGUAACUGACGCUGAGGAGCGAAAGGGUGGGGAGCAAACAGGCUUAGAUACCCUGGUAGUCCACCCCGUAAACGUUGGGAACUAGUUGUGGGGUCCAUUCCACGGAUUCCGUGACGCAGCUAACGCAUUAAGUUCCCCGCC